Molecule: ribosomal RNA, 498 nt
Filed under: uncultured bacterium
Lineage: Bacteria
Description: partial 16S ribosomal RNA
Rfam family: Bacterial small subunit ribosomal RNA
Source: RNAcentral
AUUGAACGCUGGCGGCAUGCCUUACACAUGCAAGUCGAACGGUAACAGGUCUUCGGAUGCUGACGAGUGGCGAACGGGUGAGUAAUACAUCGGAACGUGCCUAGUAGUGAGGGAUAACUACUCGAAAGAGUGGCUAAUACCGCACGAGAUCUACGGAUGAAAGCAGGGGAUCGCAAGACCUUGUGCUACUAGAGCGGCCGAUGGCAGAUUAGGUAGUUGGUGGGAUAAAAGCUUACCAAGCCGACGAUCUGUAGCUGGUCUGAGAGGACGAUCAGCCACACUGGGACUGAGACACGGCCCAGACUCCUACGGGAGGCAGCAGUGGGGAAUUUUGGACAAUGGGCGAAAGCCUGAUCCAGCAAUGCCGCGUGCAGGAUGAAGGCCUUCGGGUUGUAAACUGCUUUUGUACGGAACGAAAAGCCCCGGGUUAAUACCCUGGGGUCAUGACGGUACCGUAAGAAUAAGCACCGGCUAACUACGUGCCAGCCGCCGCGGUAA